Molecule: long non-coding RNA, 863 nt
Organism: Salvelinus sp. IW2-2015
Lineage: Eukaryota; Metazoa; Chordata; Actinopteri; Salmoniformes; Salmonidae
Source: RefSeq, a predicted model, not a curated record
AUGUAUCAUGCAGUGUUGAAUGAGCUUCCGGAUUUAACUUGAAACGUCCUUUUCAUUUAAUUGACGACGGUGUAAGGGCAGCUGUAAUUGCGCAGCAGUGAAAGGAGUGCAGUGUAACAUGUUGGUGAAGGUCCAAUACCAAAAAUGCAAGAAGUUCAUGAAGUUGCAGCUUGGUUUCUCUUUGAGAUUUCAUCAGUCAAGGUUUGGACUGCCCACUGCAGCACAAAUCCAAAUGUUUGAUGAUUCCCAAACUGAGGUGGAGGAGGAUGUCCUGCUGGACCUGAAUGAGGCCAAUCCAGACCUGUGCCUCACAAUCAAAGAUCUUGAUGAAUGUGUCUUUCUACAGUCUCACAUAAUCAUAUCGARUAACAUGAAUGUAUAGAUUGAUUGCUUUGAUCCAUUGUUUGUGCUCAGACUUUUUUCAUGCAGGCUGUUCGACACCUAGUUCGUGCACAGACACAUUAUCCCUCUCGUCAAGUGAUUUAGACCUGAGAUCUCCAGGAAUCUCCAUAGACAUUCCCUUCCUAAACCAGACUAUAUUAUCUCUUUCUCUCUCGCUCCCUGACGCUAAGAAGACAUCCUUUACCAACAGGCUACUCAAUUUCUUAUAAGCCUAUCAUGCAAACAAACACUUAUUACUCAUUACGUUUGUACAAAAACAAAAAUUGCAGUCAAUCAUUCACUGGUGUGUCGGCAUCACUAUAAUUUCCAUUUCGACAUUACAUGUAUCCAUCGCAGUGCCAUUCUAUACCGUCGUAGUAAAGUUCUAGGUCAUUGUACAUACCAUAUGUAGGCCAGUGGCGGUCAGUGCCGUUUAAGAUGAGGGAGGGCGAUUUAUUAUAUAUUUUUUCUCUCCAUGAGCA